CCCGAGGUGCGCCCUGCCCGGUCUGCGGCUCUGAGUUCUCCCGCGGCGGACCUGGCAGGACACUCCAGCCCAGGAAGAAACCAGUAGGAGUAGGAGCGAAGUCUCUUGCAAGGUGAACAAUGAGUGGAAUGCAGUGCACUGAACAAGUGUUUGGGGCUCCUCGUCUCCUUUUUUCUCAAACUUCAACUUGGCUGUUGAAAAUAAAAUAAUGAAGGCAGCA
Long non-coding RNA from Pipistrellus kuhlii (Kuhl's pipistrelle), 220 nucleotides. RefSeq lists it as uncharacterized. The record is from RefSeq and is a predicted model, not a curated record. The transcript has 2 exons. NCBI's taxonomy places the organism in Eukaryota, Metazoa, Chordata, Mammalia, Chiroptera, Vespertilionidae.